GCUGGGGUGAUGGAAUGGUAGACAUCGGGGACUUAAAAUCCCUUGCCCUUAUACGGCGUGCGGGUUCGAGUCCCGCCCCCAGCA
RNAcentral lists this transfer RNA (84 nucleotides) under Minisyncoccota bacterium. RNAcentral describes it as "tRNA-Leu". It matches the Rfam family "tRNA". From Rfam's summary of the family: Transfer RNA (tRNA) molecules are approximately 80 nucleotides in length. Their secondary structure includes four short double-helical elements and three loops (D, anti-codon, and T loops). Lineage: Bacteria; Bacillati; Minisyncoccota. The record is from RNAcentral.